Molecule: ribosomal RNA, 671 nt
Filed under: uncultured bacterium
Lineage: Bacteria
Description: bacterial SSU rRNA
Rfam family: Bacterial small subunit ribosomal RNA
Source: RNAcentral
AGCUUGACGUUAGCGACAGAAGAAGCUCCGGCUAACUCCGUGCCAGCAGCCGCGGUAAUACGGAGGGAGCGAGCGUUAAUCGGAAUUACUGGGCGUAAAGCGCAUGCAGGCGGUUUAUUAAGUCAGAUGUGAAAGCCCUGGGCUCAACCUAGGAAAGUCAUUUGAAACUGGUAAACUAGAGUCUUGUAGAGGGGGGUAGAAUUUCAGGUGUAGCGGUGAAAUGCGUAGAGAUCUGAAGGAAUACCAGUGGCGAAGGCGGCCCCCUGGACAAAGACUGACGCUCAGAUGCGAAAGCGUGGGGAGCAAACGGGAUUAGAUACCCCGGUAGUCCACGCCGUAAACGAUGUCUACUUGAAGGUUGUGGCCUUGAGCCGUGGCUUUCGGAGCUAACGCGUUAAGUAGACCGCCUGGGGAGUACGGUCGCAAGAUUAAAACUCAAAUGAAUUGACGGGGGCCCGCACAAGCGGUGGAGCAUGUGGUUUAAUUCGAUGCAACGCGAAGAACCUUACCUACUCUUGACAUCCAGAGAAUUCGCUAGAGAUAGCUUAGUGCCUUCGGGAACUCUGAGACAGGUGCUGCAUGGCUGUCGUCAGCUCGUGUUGUGAAAUGUUGGGUUAAGUCCCGCAACGAGCGCAACCCUUAUCCUUGUUUGCCAGCACGUAAUGGUGGGA